Phrynosoma platyrhinos (Desert horned lizard) is the source of this 72-nucleotide non-coding RNA. Lineage: Eukaryota; Metazoa; Chordata; Lepidosauria; Squamata; Phrynosomatidae. The record is from the annotation of a GenBank genome assembly.
GUCAGUAUGGUGUAGUGGUUUAAACGUUGAACUACAACUCUGGAGACCAGGGUUCAAAUCCCAGCUCAGCCA